UUCCUUCGGAAUUAAGAACCUAAACAUUCUUAGCGGCGGGAUGGGUGAGUAAACGCGUUGAGAAACCCUUCCUUUUCCCAAAGGGGAAUGGCCUCGGGAAACGGGGAAUUAAUACCCUAUGAUACAACUUUUUCGCCAUGAGAGGGUUGUUAAAGCGUAAAGCGGUGAAAGAUGGUCUCGCGUCCCAUUUAGUUAGUUGGUGAGGUAAUCGCUCACCAAGACAACGAUGGGUAACCGGCCUGAGAGGGUGAUCGCCCACAUUGGGACUGAGACACGGCCCAGACUCCUACGGCAGGCAGCAGUGGGGAAUCUCGCACAAUGGGGGAAACCAUGAUGCAGCAACGCCGCGUGAGUGAUGACGGCCUUCGGGUUGUAAAGCUCUGUCUUCAGGGACGAUAAUGACGGUACCUGAGGAGGAAGCCACGGCUAACUACGUGCCAGCAGCCGCGGUAAUACGUAGGGGGCAAGCGUUGUCCGGAUUUAUUGGGCGUAAAGGGUUGGCAGGUGGCCUUUUAAGUCAGAUGUGAAAGAUCAAGGCUUAACCUUGGUAAGCAUUUGAAACUGAAAGGCUUGAGUUAAGGAGAGGAAAGUGGAAUUCCUAGUGUAGCGGUGAAAUGCGUAGAUAUUAGGAGGAACACCAGUGGCGAAGGCGACUUUCUGGACUUAUACUGACACUGAGGAACGAAAGCACGGGUAGCAAACAGGAUUAGAUACCCUGGUAGUCCGCGCCGUAAACGAUGAGUGCUAGGUGUCGGGGGUCAAACCUCGGUGCCGGAGCUAACGCA
Molecule: ribosomal RNA, 785 nt
Filed under: uncultured bacterium
Lineage: Bacteria
Description: bacterial SSU rRNA
Rfam family: Bacterial small subunit ribosomal RNA
Source: RNAcentral